This 506-nucleotide ribosomal RNA is filed under the name uncultured bacterium. RNAcentral describes it as "bacterial SSU rRNA". It matches the Rfam family "Bacterial small subunit ribosomal RNA", at positions 8 to 525 of the family's 1533-position model. The record is from RNAcentral.
AGAGUUUGAUCCUGGCUCAGGACGAACGCUGGCGGCGUGCCUAACACAUGCAAGUCGAACGGGGUCCAUGAGGUACUUGUACUUCGGAAGAUCUAGUGGCGAACGGGUGAGUAACACGUGAGAAACCUGCCCCAGACUCUGGGAUAACACAAAGAAAUUUGUGCUAAUACCGGAUAUUCUCUUUCCCUCGCAUGGGGGGUUGAGGAAAGUUUUUCGGUUUGGGAGGGUCUCGCGGCCUAUCAGCUAGUUGGUGGGGUAAUGGCCUACCAAGGCAACGACGGGUAGCUGGUUUGAGAGAACGAUCAGCCACACUGGAACUGAGACACGGUCCAGACUCCUACGGGAGGCAGCAGUGGGGAAUCUUGCGCAAUGGGCGAAAGCCUGACGCAGCAACGCCGCGUGCGGGAUGAAGGCCUUCGGGUUGUAAACCGCUUUCAGCAGGGACGAAGAUGACGGUACCUGCAGAAGAAGCUCCGGCUAACUACGUGCCAGCAGCCGCGGUAAUA